RNAcentral lists this ribosomal RNA (429 nucleotides) under Acidobacteriota bacterium. Its description in RNAcentral is "Acidobacteria bacterium partial 16S ribosomal RNA". It matches the Rfam family "Bacterial small subunit ribosomal RNA", at positions 355 to 776 of the family's 1533-position model. The record is from RNAcentral. Lineage: Bacteria; Pseudomonadati; Acidobacteriota.
UGGGGAAUUUUGGACAAUGGGGGAAACCCUGAUCCAGCCAUCCCGCGUGUGCGAUGAAGGCCUUCGGGUUGUAAAGCACUUUUGGCAGGAAAGAAACGUCAUGGGUUAAUACCCCGUGAAACUGACGGUACCUGCAGAAUAAGCACCGGCUAACUACGUGCCAGCAGCCGCGGUAAUACGUAGGGUGCAAGCGUUAAUCGGAAUUACUGGGCGUAAAGCGUGCGCAGGCGGUUCGGAAAGAAAGAUGUGAAAUCCCAGAGCUCAACUUUGGAACUGCAUUUUUAACUACCGGGCUAGAGUGUGUCAGAGGGAGGUGGAAUUCCGCGUGUAGCAGUGAAAUGCGUAGAUAUGCGGAGGAACACCGAUGGCGAAGGCAGCCUCCUGGGAUAACACUGACGCUCAUGUACGAAAGCGUGGGGAGCAAACAGG